GCUGUGGUAGCUCAGUGGUAGAGCGCGUCCUUGGUAAGGACGAGGUCGAGAGUUCAAUUCUCUCUCACAGCACCA
This 75-nucleotide transfer RNA is filed under the name Paracoccaceae bacterium. Its description in RNAcentral is "Rhodobacteraceae bacterium tRNA-Thr". It matches the Rfam family "tRNA". Rfam says of the family: Transfer RNA (tRNA) molecules are approximately 80 nucleotides in length. Their secondary structure includes four short double-helical elements and three loops (D, anti-codon, and T loops). The record is from RNAcentral. Lineage: Bacteria; Pseudomonadati; Pseudomonadota; Alphaproteobacteria; Rhodobacterales; Paracoccaceae.